CUCCGGUUCCAUUUAAGGGACCCGACUGCUAUCAGAGUGGGACUAAGCCAUGCGAGUCAACAUAGCAAUAUGUGGCAUACGGCUCAGUAACACGUAGUCAACAUGCCCAGGGGACGUGGAUAACCUCGGGAAACUGAGGAUAAACCGCGAUAGGUCAUCACUUCUGGAAUGGGUAAUGACUUAAAUCUAUAUGGCCCCUGGAUUGGACUGCGGCCGAUCAGGCUGUUGGUGAGGUAAUGGCCCACCAAACCUGUAACCGGUACGGGCUCUGAGAGGAGGAGCCCGGAGAUGGGCACUGAGACAAGGGCCCAGGCCCUAUGGGGCGCAGCAGGCGCGAAACCUCUGCAAUAGGCGAAAGCUUGACAGGGUUACUCUGAGUGAUUUCCGUUAAGGAGAUCUUUUGGCACCUCUAAAAAUGGUGUAGAAUAAGGGGUGGGCAAGUCUGGUGUCAGCCGCCGCGGUAAUACCAGCACCCCGAGUGGUCGGGACGUUUAUUGGGCCUAAAGCAUCCGUAGCCGGUUCUACAAGUCUUCCGUUAAAUCCACCUGCUUAACAGAUGGGCUGCGGAAGAUACUAUAGAGCUAGGAGGCGGGAGAGGCAAGCGGUACUCGAUGGGUAGGGGUAAAAUCCGUUGAUCCAUUGAAGACCACCAGUGGCGAAGGCGGCUUGCCAGAACGCGCUCGACGGUGAGGGAUGAAAGCUGGGGGAGCAAACCGGAUUAGAUACCCGGGUAGUCCCAGCUGUAAACGAUGCAGACUCGGUGAUGAGUUGGCUUAUUGCUAACUCAGUGCCGCAGGGAAGCCGUUAAGUUUGCCGCCUGGGGAGUACGGUCGCAAGACUGAAACUUAAAGGAAUGGCGGGGGGAGCA
RNAcentral lists this ribosomal RNA (868 nucleotides) under uncultured archaeon. RNAcentral describes it as "bacterial SSU rRNA". It matches the Rfam family "Archaeal small subunit ribosomal RNA", at positions 1 to 878 of the family's 1478-position model. The record is from RNAcentral.